Molecule: long non-coding RNA, 450 nt
Filed under: Sarcophilus harrisii (Tasmanian devil)
Lineage: Eukaryota; Metazoa; Chordata; Mammalia; Dasyuromorphia; Dasyuridae
Description: lncRNA (ENSSHAG00000029554.1)
Source: RNAcentral
UAAAGUUAUUGCUAUUCUGGGAAUCACUUCUUCAAAAAUUCUCAGCUGAUGGAUUUGAUUCAUAGAACCUAUCAAAAGAAAGAUUCUUCUGGCCUUCUUGACCUUUCUCCUUCAUCCUUUGUCCAUUCCAUGAUGGGAGUUAUGGACUUAAAGAAACAUCAUAGAUAAGAAGAAUGGAGUGAAUUUCAGUUGCUUGGGAUCCCCCGCUAUAGCAUUGAAGGAAGAAAAAAUGGGGGACUUACCUUGUCAAGGAGGGGAUGAAACCAGGAGGAAACUUAAGGGAUGCCAUUGAAAGGAAUUAAUCAUGAUGAUCUUCUUUCUGGGAAUCAGCAGUUAAUCCCUGGAAAAAAGGCAUCUUUCUUUCUACAUGUCUUUGAUGAAAUCACACCAUGACAAAUGUAAUUAGGAUCAUGGAUGGAGUGAUGUUACUUGACCUGCAGCUAAAAAAAG